GGAAUUCCCGGUGUAGCGGUGAAAUGCGUGGAUAUCGGGAAGUACACCAGUGGCGAAGGCGGCUCACUGGCCUAGAACUGACGCUAAGGCGCGAAAGCUUGGGGAGCGAACGGGAUUAGAUACCCCGGUAGUCCACGCCGUAAACGUUGUAUACUAGGUGUUAGUGGAUUUAUUCACUAGUGCCGAAGCUAACGCAUUAAGUAUACCGCCUGGGGAGUACACUCGCAAGGGUGAAACUCAAAGAAAUUGACGGGGGCCCGCACAAGCGGUGGAUCAUGUGGUUUAAUUCGAUGAUACGCGAAGAACCUUACCUGGGCUUGAACUGUACCUGACAGGUGUAGAGAUACACCCUCCUUCGGGCAGGUAUAGAGGUGCUGCAUGGUUGUCGUCAGCUCGUGUCGUGAGAUGUUGGGUUAAGUCCCGCAACGAGCGCAACCCUUACUCCUUGUUGCUAACAGGUUAAGCUGAGCACUCUAGGGGGACUGCCGGUUAUAAACCGGAGGCAGCUGAGGAUGACGUCAAAUCAGCACGGCCUUUAUGUCCAGGGCUACACACGUGAUACAAUGGUCGGUACAAAGAGCUGCGAGCCCGCGAGGUGGAGCUAAUCUCAAAAAACCGGCCUCAGUUCGGAUUGCAGUCUGCAACUCGACUGCAUGAAGGUGGAAUCGCUAGUAAUCGCAGAUCAGCACGCUGCGCCGAAUACGUUCCCGGGCCUUGUACACACCGCCCGUCACACCAUCCGAGUUGGCAGCACC
Molecule: ribosomal RNA, 755 nt
Filed under: uncultured organism
Description: bacterial SSU rRNA
Rfam family: Bacterial small subunit ribosomal RNA
Source: RNAcentral